This 425-nucleotide ribosomal RNA is filed under the name uncultured bacterium. Its description in RNAcentral is "bacterial SSU rRNA". It matches the Rfam family "Bacterial small subunit ribosomal RNA", at positions 28 to 434 of the family's 1533-position model. The record is from RNAcentral.
GACGAACGCUGGCGGCGUGCCUAACACAUGCAAGUCGAACGAAACUUCUUUAAAGGAUUUCUUCGGAAUGAAUUUGAUUAAGUUUAGUGGCGGACGGGUGAGUAACGCGUGAGUAACCUGCCUCUAAGAGGGGAAUAACAUUCUGAAAAGAAUGCUAAUACCGCAUAACAUAUAUUUAUCGCAUGGUAGAUAUAUCAAAGAUUUAUCGCUUAGAGAUGGACUCGCGUCCGAUUAGUUAGUUGGUGAGGUAACGGCUCACCAAGACCGCGAUCGGUAGCCGGACUGAGAGGUUGAACGGCCACAUUGGGACUGAGACACGGCCCAGACUCCUACGGGAGGCAGCAGUGGGGGAUAUUGCGCAAUGGGGGAAACCCUGACGCAGCAACGCCGCGUGAAGGAUGAAGGUCUUCGGAUUGUAAACUUCU